Molecule: ribosomal RNA, 503 nt
Filed under: uncultured bacterium
Lineage: Bacteria
Description: partial 16S ribosomal RNA
Rfam family: Bacterial small subunit ribosomal RNA
Source: RNAcentral
AUUGAACACUGGCGGCAGGCUUAACACAUGCAAGUCGAGCGGGGUGAUGGUGCUUGCACUAUCACUUAGCGGCGGACGGGUGAGUAAUGCUUAGGAAUCUGCCUAUUAGUGGGGGACAACAUCUCGAAAGGGAUGCUAAUACCGCAUACGUCCUACGGGAGAAAGCAGGGGAUCACUUGUGACCUUGCGCUAAUAGAUGAGCCUAAGUCGGAUUAGCUAGUUGGUGGGGUAAAGGCCUACCAAGGCGACGAUCUGUAGCGGGUCUGAGAGGAUGAUCCGCCACACUGGGACUGAGACACGGCCCAGACUCCUACGGGAGGCAGCAGUGGGGAAUAUUGGACAAUGGGGGGAUCCCUGAUCCAGCCAUGCCGCGUGUGUGAAGAAGGCCUUAUGGUUGUAAAGCACUUUAAGCGAGGAGGAGGCUCUUUUGGUUAAUACCCAAGAUGAGUGGACGUUACUCGCAGAAUAAGCACCGGCUAACUCUGUGCCAGCCGCCGCGGUAA